RNAcentral lists this long non-coding RNA (2521 nucleotides) under Nicotiana tabacum (common tobacco). RNAcentral describes it as "long non-coding RNA (NTAB_LNC006829)". Lineage: Eukaryota; Viridiplantae; Streptophyta; Magnoliopsida; Solanales; Solanaceae. The record is from RNAcentral.
GCCGAAUUCAUGUGAGAUAGAGGUAAAGUGCUUUUCACCGAAAUAGCCCCUAUAUCCAGGAUCGAACAUAAAAACUCUUAUUAAAAUUAAUGUAGAUGAAUUAUAAUCAUCGCACCAAACUCGUCGGCAAUACAAUCAACCCUCUUUGAUGUCGUAGAAAAAAACUUUUAUUAAACUCCAAACUAGACAAUAAGAUCUGGUCAGUAGACUAUAGACAUGAUGCUCUCGUGAUCGCAUUAUCUCUUUCAAGAGUAAAAUCUGCAGUAGUUUCCAAGAAGUUGCAACUCAGAUUUCAAUGGUGUCAUAGCAAUCAACACAUAGAUUUCUUCAAUCUUUUCAAUUGGCAUAUAUUGAUAAUGCAUGAUAUCCAGUUGUUAACCCCUUAAUUGAUAGAGACUCUCCCAUUUGGCUUAUAUUAUGUCCUUAGAAGUUGUAAAUUAUCUAACAAUACAUGUUUGAUAAUAUUACAUAGGUCCAAAAACUUGAAACCAUAUAAGAAAUAAAUUCCAUUCAUGCAUGAUUUAGAAGUAUUUCACUUUAUUAGAAGAAUCAUUUUAAGUUGGAAUUACUUUUGUACAAACUAAUGGGGUAUAUACAUAGUGGAUCAUAAAGAUAACCUAACGACGGAAAUCCGGCACGAACAAUUUUCUUUAAAAAAAAAAAACAGUAAACAAAGCGUAAGAAGAUAAUGUUAGAAAAAUUAUUCAACUAAUAGAAUGUCAGUAUCCAUUUUACUCAUUUUAGAAUAUGCGGAUCCUCUUUGUUUAUUACCUAUGUACUUAGGUGGAUCUGUGUCCAAUCCCUUUUCUCAUUUAUACAUUAAAGUAUUAAACCAAUAAUCUCUAACUUUGUUACUAAUAACUAAUGAGAUCAGAGCUUGUAACCACUCUCUAAAUGUUUUUUUUUGUCCAAACUACUCUCUAAAUGUUGAAAAUGAGUAAUGGCUAAUACUUCUUUUAGCGAUCAAUUACCUUCUUUUUCUUGUUCCACCCCCCCCCCCCCACCCCCCCCCUCUCUUAGCAUAUGUUAGCUAGUAUUUGGAUUUUUGGAGCAACUAAAUAAGUACGCAAGGUAAAAUUGCUACGAUAAACUGCAGCCCGAUUAAUUAAUUUAAUAUAUCAAAUUAGGAAAAUUACAAAGAAAUGGGAUCUGUUUUAGGACACAGCAGAAUUGGAUCCACGUAAGUACACGAGGAACAAACAACGAGGAUCCACAUAUUCAAUAUGGAUCCAUGAAGUUUCCCACAAAAGGACACUUGAUUCAUAAAAGUUCCAACUUGCACCCUUGAUCCAAACUUUUAAAGGGAAAAAUGAAAAGAAAAAACAAAAUUUUGCCAUUGUUUUAGACGUUUGAUUUAACCUCUUAAGGCUUCUUAUAAAUACAUUGACACCCUGCCAAGUUUGAAUAAUUACAUUAAAUACCUUCUAGGAACUUACUAAUGAAGCCUUGCUCACAAUAUACUUAACUCAAAAUGACUUGACGAAAUAAUGCUUUAAAAAGAAAAGGAAUUGGGAUAUAUGCAUUGCUUAAUUACUUAAUUAAUUAUUCACUAUGGUCUUAUAUUAUAAUUUAGCAUGGAAGAUUGAUAAUAAUAUGGUACAGUGAGAUAAAGUUAAGAGUUGAAAGAGUUACGAAAGGAAAUAAUUUUUUUCGUAACUGAGGAAAGCCAUUUCCUCUCUUUUGAUAAAAAAAAAAUGUUCUUGUCAAAAAUAUUUUCUCGCAGCCAAACACCAAAAAAAUACUUGUUUUCUGGGAAAUAUUAUUUUUUAAAAUAUUUCCCCACCAACAAACUGAUCUUAAAUGGAAAUUCAAAAGAAAGCAUACUUGUUCAAUAAUGUGGUCUUAUUAUAGAAAGCGCCUACAUAGUAAUAAUCUAGUAUUGAUUGGCUUAGUUAAACGAAAAGUGACACUAUUAUUAUGGAGUAAUAAAUGUCGAAGUCAGAAUUUUCACUAAAGAGAUUAAAACAAUAAAAAAAUAAACAUACAAAGAGUUUUUGAGUUGUAUUAACGAGAUUCAAUAUUUAUUUUAUAACAUAAAAGAUAAUUUUAACCUUUGUAUAUACACAAAUAAAUAAGAAUGGCCGCUUGCGCCUUUUAACUCCACCAUUGAAUAGUAGUCACUUUUCGAAAACAUCAAUAGGCAUGCUUGCGCUAAAUCUGCCAACCCAAAAGGAAAAAGAAAUAAACAAAUAUACUUAGUAGAAAACUAAAUAAACAGCAGUAAGGAAGCGAAUAGAAAAUCUUGAUCAAGUUGCCAUAAAAAAAACUGGAAAGAAAAAGACCUCUUAGUCAACAUUACCUCCUACUUAUUAGCUAAUUGUUUUAUGGAUGUAUUUAGACACUUGAUAUGUGGAUGCUGAGUUAAGUAAAACAUAUUUUAUGGUGAUAAUUGAUAAUGGAAUAAAACAAUUAGUAGCUAAUAAGUAGGAGUUAGUGUCAAUACGUUAUAGCGCAUGUACACGUACACAUGUUGAUAUGCUUUCGCCAUGUGGGUACCCAGAGCUCCUCACACUCCAAUAUC